Molecule: ribosomal RNA, 572 nt
Filed under: uncultured bacterium
Lineage: Bacteria
Description: partial 16S ribosomal RNA
Rfam family: Bacterial small subunit ribosomal RNA
Source: RNAcentral
UGGGGAAUUUUGGACAAUGGGCGAAAGCCUGAUCCAGCAAUGCCGCGUGUGUGAAGAAGACCUUCGGGUUGUAAAGCACUUUUGUCCGGAAAGAAAUCCUUGGCUCUAAUACAGUCGGGGGAUGACGGUACCGGAAGAAUAAGCACCGGCUAACUACGUGCCAGCAGCCGCGGUAAUACGUAGGGUGCAAGCGUUAAUCGGAAUUACUGGGCGUAAAGCGUGCGCAGGCGGUUUUGUAAGACGGAUGUGAAAUCCCCGGGCUUAACCUGGGAACUGCAUUCGUGACUGCAAGGCUAGAGUAUGGCAGAGGGGGGUAGAAUUCCACGUGUAGCAGUGAAAUGCGUAGAGAUGUGGAGGAAUACCGAUGGCGAAGGCAGCCCCCUGGGCCAAUACUGACGCUCAUGCACGAAAGCGUGGGGAGCAAACAGGAUUAGAUACCCUGGUAGUCCACGCCCUAAACGAUGUCAACUAGUUGUUGGGGAUUCAUUUCCUUAGUAACGUAGCUAACGCGUGAAGUUGACCGCCUGGGGGAGUACGGUCGCAAGAUUAAAACUCAAAUGAAUUGACGGGGU